This is a long non-coding RNA of Macrobrachium nipponense, 814 nucleotides long. RefSeq lists it as uncharacterized. The transcript has 3 exons. The record is from RefSeq and is a predicted model, not a curated record. NCBI's taxonomy places the organism in Eukaryota, Metazoa, Arthropoda, Malacostraca, Decapoda, Palaemonidae.
GGCGGGGCCUGGCCCUGUAAACAGUGUUAACUACUUCGGAGUGCUUCCCUUACUCCAUUCGCAGUCACGCUGAAGUGCAGUAAGCAGCUCUAGCUCCAUACACCAUACCCCUCGAAGUACUCUCCAGCCGGCGUCUUGUUUACGUAUAAUUUAGACUGAGGAUACUACACACGAAACGCUGAAUACCCCGCCAUGAGUUAUUACUCGAAUAAAGAAAUUUUUUACCACUAUACCUCGAAGGAAGGGAAAGAUGCUAUUCUGGAUUCCGGUGUCAUCCGACCAAGCAGACGUCGUGGUUACGGAAAUGAUGCCAUGUAUGGAGAUGGUGUUUACGGCACGAGGAUGGAUCCCGAGAACUUCUCCAAGAUGCAGCUGGCGAGGAACAAUUACGACUCGCACACUGGAGUUUGGAGGCCUCUCUUGAAAGGGGGAAAAGUAGACUUUACCUUCAAGCUCUACCUUCCAAAGGGUAGAGUGGAAGAAGUCGAGGACACCGACCGCAGUAUCUUACUCCAUCACGGAAACAUUUAUCUUGAUAAUGUUCGGUAUGAAGUUAUUCCCGUACCAUCGGGUAACCGAACUUAUUAUUCACGAAGAGGUCGUUGUUGAUUAACUGGUACGAGCAAGCGUAAGGUAUGGGAUAUGGAGUUCAUUGCCUUAGCAAAUAGUUUCUAUUUUUUUUUUUUUCUGAAAUUUUUUCUGAACGUCGUCAAAAUUAAUAUUUGAAUACAGAAUGGAAGAAAUAAAGAUUCUAUUUUGUUUGCAUCUGUAAGACCUUUAAGUCGUUCAAUACAAAGUAGUAUUUUGUAAAAUA